RNAcentral lists this ribosomal RNA (1172 nucleotides) under Enterobacter sp. Its description in RNAcentral is "bacterial SSU rRNA". It matches the Rfam family "Bacterial small subunit ribosomal RNA", at positions 25 to 1194 of the family's 1533-position model. Lineage: Bacteria; Pseudomonadati; Pseudomonadota; Gammaproteobacteria; Enterobacterales; Enterobacteriaceae. The record is from RNAcentral.
GGGAAUGGACGCUGGCGGCAGGCCUAACCAUGCAAGUCGAGCGGUACACAGAGAGCUUGCUCUCGGGUGACGAGCGGCGGACGGGUGAGUAAUGUCUGGGAAACUGCCUGAUGGAGGGGGAUAACUACUGGAAACGGUAGCUAAUACCGCAUAACGUCGCAAGACCAAAGUGGGGGACCUUCGGGCCUCAUGCCAUCAGAUGUGCCCAGAUGGGAUUAGCUAGUAGGUGGGGUAAUGGCUGGCCUAGGCGACGAUCCCUAGCUGGUCUGAGAGGAUGACCAGCCACACUGGAACUGAGACACGGUCCAGACUCCUACGGGAGGCAGCAGUGGGGAAUAUUGCACAAUGGGCGCAAGCCUGAUGCAGCCAUGCCGCGUGUAUGAAGAAGGCCUUCGGGUUGUAAAGUACUUUCAGCGAGGAGGAAGGCAUUAAGGUUAAUAACCUUGGUGAUUGACGUUACUCGCAGAAGAAGCACCGGCUAACUCCGUGCCAGCAGCCGCGGUAAUACGGAGGGUGCAAGCGUUAANNNGAAUUACUGGGCGUAAAGCGCACGCAGGCGGUCUGUCAAGUCGGAUGUGAAAUCCCCGGGCUCAACCUGGGAACUGCAUUCGAAACUGGCAGGCUAGAGUCUUGUAGAGGGGGGUAGAAUUCCAGGUGUAGCGGUGAAAUGCGUAGAGAUCUGGAGGAAUACCGGUGGCGAAGGCGGCCCCCUGGACAAAGACUGACGCUCAGGUGCGAAAGCGUGGGGAGCAAACAGGAUUAGAUACCCUGGUAGUCCACGCCGUAAACGAUGUCGACUUGGAGGUUGUGCCCUUGAGGCGUGGCUUCCGGAGCUAACGCGUUAAGUCGACCGCCUGGGGAGUACGGCCGCAAGGUUAAAACUCAAAUGAAUUGACGGGGGCCCGCACAAGCGGUGGAGCAUGUGGUUUAAUUCGAUNNNNNGCGAAGAACCUUACCUACUCUUGACAUCCAGAGAACCCAGCAGAGAUGCUUUGGUGCCUUCGGGAACGGGGAGACAVVVGCUGCAUGGCUGUCGUCAGCUCGUGUUGUCCCCUGUUGGGUUAAGUCCCGCAACGAGCGCAACNNNNNNNNNNNNUUGCCAGCGGUCCGGCCGGGAACCCAAAGGAGACUGCCAGUGAUAAACCCGGGGGUGGGGAUGACGUCAACCCUUU